UGCGUAGGCGGUCUUUCAAGCCAGAAGUGGAAGGCUACGGCUCAACCGUAGUAAGCUUUUGGAACUGUAAGACUUGAGUGCAGGAGAGGAGAGUAGAAUUCCUAGUGUAGCGGUGAAAUGCGUAGAUAUUAGGAGGAAUACCAGUAGCGAAGGCGGCUCUCUGGACUGUAACUGACGCUGAGGCACGAAAGCAUGGGGAGCAAACA
This 206-nucleotide ribosomal RNA is filed under the name uncultured bacterium. RNAcentral describes it as "partial 16S ribosomal RNA". It matches the Rfam family "Bacterial small subunit ribosomal RNA", at positions 568 to 774 of the family's 1533-position model. The record is from RNAcentral.